UCGUAUGGUGACAAGUCUCGUUAAUUCAGUAAAACGAGCGCGAUCCCAGUUCUAUAGUUUUGGUUUCUUUGCUUUGCGAAGAAAACAAGACCAUUGCCUCUCAGAGGUGAGGAAUUAGAAGACCGUCGGUGUAAGGAUUAUCCUGUAACCGAAGGAAGGGUGGGGCGAGAAUA
Molecule: ribosomal RNA, 173 nt
Filed under: uncultured eukaryote
Lineage: Eukaryota
Description: partial 18S ribosomal RNA
Source: RNAcentral